Molecule: unclassified non-coding RNA, 1207 nt
Filed under: Hevea brasiliensis (rubber tree)
Lineage: Eukaryota; Viridiplantae; Streptophyta; Magnoliopsida; Malpighiales; Euphorbiaceae
Source: RNAcentral
AGAAGGCAAGUACUGGAGGUUACAGGUACUAGUGCUUCAAAAAAAUCAAAAGUUUUACUACCAUAAAGUAGUAGGGGGCCUAUUGAUUGUUAUUUUCCCCCUAGACUUGCUGUUAUGGGAAAAAAUAUGAGGCAAACUACCAUUGAUGAAAAUAGUCCAGCUAAAAAGGAGUUAAGGGAGCGUGCUUGUGUUGCCAUAGCACGAUGGAUGUAUGAUGUGGGAAUAGCUUUUAAUGCUGUGAAUUAUGAUAGCUUUGGGGAAAUGAUUCGAGCAAUUGGAAAUUAUGGGAGAGAAAUGAAACCUCCAAGUUUUCAUGAGGUUAGAGUUCGGUUACUUAACAAAGAAGUGCAAAUCAUAAAUGAUCUUCUCGAGUCUCAUAAAGAAGAAUGGGAAAAUUAUGGAUGUACAUUGAUGUGUGAUGGAUGGACGGAUAGAAAAGGGAGAACCUUGAUUAAUUUCUUGGCUAAUAGUCCAAAGGGAAGUGUAUUUAUUAAAUCAGUUGAUGCAAGUGAUGAAUCAAAGACAGCGGCAUUGUUGGCUAGUUUGAUUGAGAAAGAAUUGAUGGAAAUUGAUCCCGAAAAAGUGGUUCAAGUUGUUACAGAUAAUACAUCAAAUAAUGUUGCAGCAAGUAAAAUUUUUAUUUAAUUUUUUCUAUUACUAAAAAAAAUAUCAUUUUAUUUUUAUUAUUAAUGGAAUGAAUUUUUCUACUUGUUUAUGACAGGGAGAAUAUUGGAAGCAAAUUUUUCUCAUCUAUACUGGACUCCAUGUGCAGCCCAUUGUAUAGAUUUGAUGUUGGAGGAUAUCUUUAAGAUCCGUGUUUUCAAAGAAACAUUCCGCAAAGCUGUUGAGCUUACUGGUUUCAUAUAUGGCUCUUCAGGAGUUCUAAAUAUGUUGCGGAAGUUUACUAAUGGAGUAGAAUUGCUAAGGCCAGGGCAAACUAGAUUUGCUACUGCUUUUAUUACACUGGGAAAGAUUCAUCUUCAGAAAGCCAUCAUUAGAAAAAUCUUUACUUCAAAAAGUUGGACAACUAGUAAAUGGGCUAAAGAGGUGAAAGGCAAAAAGUGUGAAAGGACGGUUUUGAGUCCUGCCUUCUGGAAUCAUGUUGUUUAUGAUCUUGCAUCGAGUUGGCAAUGCAAUGGCUUCUUUAGCCCUAUCCAUGGCUUCAUAAAUAUAUCCCAUAGCUGUUUUUUUUUUCAUUAUCAACAAG